Molecule: non-coding RNA, 4737 nt
Organism: Oryza sativa Japonica Group (Japanese rice)
Lineage: Eukaryota; Viridiplantae; Streptophyta; Magnoliopsida; Poales; Poaceae
Source: RefSeq, a predicted model, not a curated record
UGAAACUAUUUUGGAAGCGGCAUUCUAGUGAAACCCGUUUUGACAACGGCUAAAUCUCAAUUUUCUCCUCUAUUCUCUCCCCGUGGUGCUCCCGGCCCGGCCGGCCUCUCAGGCGAGCCGCCCCUCGCCGCCGGCAACGAGCUUCGCCGCCUCGCGCGUGGCGGCCUCCGCUGCGCCGCGAGGGUCCUUAUCCUCCUUUAUGCCUCUGGUUAAGGAAUCUGGCUAUUACUCUGCAGCCUGAAAGACUUUCCUGCCAAUAUAUUUUGAGCUGGGAGAAACCCUUCCUAAGGUGUUCCAUUGGGUGAUGGCAGUAGAAAGUGUGGCCAGAUUGAUGAUGAUUUCAAGAGCAUCCGUCUCACGUCCAUUGCUUCUAAGCGGAAGCUAGCAGUAGAAGAGCAAACCGUUGCUGAAAUUGUAAUUGUUGAUGAGAGCUUAUGUUCUAGAGGCAGCUGUUUCCCACUUUAUCUUAUUAUCUAUAUCAUGUACUGGCAAGAUCAAGAAGUGCAAUCACAUAUGACUUGCAGGGGAGAUUCUGCAAUGAUCUUAUGCCUUCCCCCAUGAGUAUGCAUGGAAGCCAUUUGGCAGUAUACAAUGGAAGAUAAUGUUUCUUCUGAUGCUAGAUAUCAGCUUACGAAACAGAUAUUUCAAUAGUGAUUGACAGCUUGGUAAGGAUUCAUCAUUUUAAAACUGCAGUGGAGUUCCUUAUCUCAGGAGUCAAGAGAACUUCAGGAUUAGAAACAAGUGUUCUUUGACACAGAUUUACAAGUCAGCUGACUGAUCUUGCCAAUGUGAAUCCUUGCGACAUUCUAUAUCAGUUUUUCUUGGUCUUCUCAGGAGUCAGGAGAACUACAGGAUUAGAAACAUGUGUUCUCUCACACACAGAGUCACAGUAAACUGACUGAUCUUACAAUGUGAAACCUAACGACAUUCUGCAUCAGUUUUUGAUGGUGCUGAUUGUAGAUUGCUGAUGGCCAAGGGGAUUUAGUUGAGUGCCAGGCCAUGCAACACAACACAUUCAAGCCAUUUCUCUGUCCUAGUUUUUUGAUAUUCAGCAUUCAGCUCAUUUAUCUUUCUUAGCCUGUUGACAAAUUUUCAGUAGUACUACAAUAUAUACCUGUGGGAAUCCCUAGACCGAACAAACAAGUUAUAUAUGCAGUAAGCUGGUCACCACUCUGGAGUUCUCGAAGAAACAUAUGUUAUAAUAGCACUCCUAGCAGUCAUGUUUGUGGAUUCUAGAAUAAGAACUUCUUCCUCAUAUUUAAUUAGUGUUUCUAAAGCAGAUAAACUUGAAGCAAAUCCGUGCUACUAUGUUGAAAAGUUGCUUCCGUCCAUGGCAAGAGGACAGUUUGAAAGUGCCAAUAGAGGAGAUACUUUCAACUGUUUCUACCAGAUCAUGAAUCUUAAAAGUAUGGUGGGUCUUUUUUUAACUGGUUGAAUUCUACCAGUGAAUAUCUUCAGCAAAUUGCAAGAGUACCUUGAAUAGGUGAUUAGGAUAUGCCAAUUUUCUUUAUGAUGAAAUGAAGACUGGAAGCUUUUUCAGAGAGAGCUUGUUCAGGUUUUGAAAGCCUGCAGGAUCCACAAUUCCACAUGCAACUUUUAUAGCAUAUUUUUAUAUGAAAAGUAUAAACUAUCUGGCGCAUAUUUCUUGUGUCUACAUGAGUCAAAUAAAAACGGUAUGAUUUUCAUUUUCCUUCACUCCAUUGUUCAAUUUAUAUGAAAUCUAUUAGAGUUGUGCCAUAUAGCUUUAGCUCUGUUGGUUCUGUGCUUGCUUCAUGCAAAUAAUUUUGAAUGAUAUGUUACCAUAUUUCGAAGUGGCUCUACACUCUUUUUAAACAAAAUGACAUGGAUAUUGGUUGCCAAUGUUCUGUUGCAAAUGGAACCGGGACUAGCUCACUCGGUGGGAGCCUAUGAGGUGUGGAGGCAACGGCCUACCCCCCCCCCCCCCCCCCAACCCAGGUUUGGGACCUCUUUAGCUCGAAAUUUGGGUGUUUAUUUCCUCCUUAAAAGACUAUACGCCCUCCUAUCUCGCUUAUAUAAUAGUUGCGCAUAAAUCAACUCUUUUGCCCUGGAAAUUGCUCUUUUCCUGUGUGGCAUGGAAUAGCUUAUCUUCCUUACUUUAUUAUCUCUAUUUGCAUUUUACAAUACUUUGUGCUACUUUUUGUUUUUUUCCAGAAUAUAGGAAAUUAAUUAUAUUGCCACUUGCCAACCUGUUCUAAGCUAUUACUAUUUGAGUCUUUGCCGGGAACAGCAAUAAUUAUCUUGUUUCCACCAGUCUGGCUAGAUUUCUCCUUUACUUCCCUUCACUGAAUUGCAAUAAUAUAGUUUUAUUUUCACUUUUGCAAAUUUAAUUAUAUGGGUUAAACAUUCAAACUUGUUGUUUGGAUGUUCUUGGAUAUGUACAGAACAAAACAACGAAAGAUGUGGUGUAGCUUGGUUAAAUUUGAUCAUUGGGUGGUUAAAUUUUUUUUAUAGGAAUUGUUUAUUUGGAUAAAUUGAAUUUACUUGAGAACUAAUUGGGCUACAUUUAAACUGUGGUUGACAGACAAUAUGCACUUCUAUUACUUUGCCAUUUGUUCAUUACUUCAACAAUAAAAAUCUGAAAGGAAAUGCAUAUCAGCAUUGCCUCUGGUCUAUGUGAUACAUCAUAGUGCCUGCUGCACACCUGUGUUCUUGUCUGUCAAUAGUUGAACCUUGCAGUCACUGAUUGUUCAUAUGAGUUUACACAGUUAAAUCUGUUAGUUAAAUUGACCAGCUGGUCAUUGUAUCGCUUUACUCAAUUACCAUGCUUCUGAAACACAUGCAUCGGGUGACUGACAACUACAUUGGGGUUAACAACAUGCAAAUGAAAUGAUUUAGACUACUUCUUGGCCACAGGGUCAUUUAUAUUGAGAAACUCGCUUCUCUGCAAUGACUUGGGUAGCAAUAUACUAAAUAUGUCUCCAAAUGGUUGGUCUUCAUAGUUUUGAGGAGUUGAAGUGAUGAAACUCAAAACUGCAGCUAUCCAAGUAAACAAUUUUUGGAAACAAGCUGACUUGGCCUUUCUUUUUUUUUUUUUUUGUUGCUGUUGCUGGUUUGUAAUGCUUGACUUGAAAAAGUGAAAGCAAACUAGACUUGUAUAGUUUUAUACAUUUUAUUAUUUUUACAAUUUUUUCUGUUUGAUGUUCAGCCCUUGAGUUUUAAACUUAGUCAUUAAUAUAUUAUAUACUUUACGAUCAAAAUCUGGCAAAAGUAUAAUGUUAUCAUUGGCAAUUUACCCACCGGUAUCACUUCCAUGUGUUCAAUCCAGUAUAUCAGUCAAAGUUACUAAAGUUUGUCUGCACAUAUACCCCACAAUAUAAAAGUGGGGAUUAAUAAGGUAGUGUAAAUUGUAAAAGACGACUAUGCAUAUCUUUGACUUUUAUGUAACUGAUUGUUAAAAAUUAGACUUUUUACAGAUUUGGUUGCUAAAUGAACCAAGAUAAUGACAUGCCAAGCAUGUAAUCAUUUUGAAUGGACGUAAGUACAUCAAAAUGUAACAACUAACUAGGACCACCAGGCCAUGGUACUAUGCCCUCAGAGGGGCAAGGGUUUGUCAUGCAGUAGCAGUUAUACUUGCCAACGCUUUGCAUUUAGGGUCACUGGCUGGUCUACUGCUAGUUGUUUACAGAGGCCAAAAAAGGGGUAGUUGUUUACAGAAAUUGUUGUGUCAGACUUGAUUCCUAAAUCUUUUGCUACAAGAUUGACUGGAUAAAGUCUAGAGUCUAGAGAGUAUAUUUACACAUGGAAGCCAAGCAGGCCACCUGUUCUGUACAUUGUGAAUCCAUAUUUCAUUGACAUCUUCCCAGAUUUUGAUAGACUAGUGGGUAAUUCUUUCAUGCUGUAUCUCUUUUACAUAUUUUUUAGUAGAAUUGUAGUUUCUUCACUAAAUAGAUAUCUUAACCAACUAAUCUACCCAUGCUUUGAAGAAUAAUUACAAAAGCUCACCAGAUGGUAACUUCUUUACUAGAUUUUAAAGAACGGAAAGCCCCCUGGAAUUGGAAUGUUGCUCAUUUGAAAUGCUUAUUUAUUACUGAUACAAGUUAUGAUAUGUUGUUUUCAGCGCAUGUUUGUGUACUUGAGUGUCUUUCUCAUUAGUCAGAAGUUGAAACAAGCCAGUUUUCCUUUUCUUUUUGGCUCAUUGCUAAUUUGCUACACUUCUGUCGUCCACAGCCACUUGACAAUGACAUUAAUGGAUUAAUUGGCAUGUACAUGGACCAUGUGUUGAUCUAUUUUAGGUAGAUCUGGCGGAUGACAGUGUCAAGAGCGCAGCGUAACUUGGUGCUAUAUGCUUUACAAUCUUAAUUAAGAUGACAUCACCAGAUUGAUUCGAAUGAGAUUGAAGCAAAGGGCAGAGUUAAUGUUGUGGGGACCGAUACAGCUAUCCUACUGGACAUAUUCAAUGCAUGCUUUUGCAACAUGGGAGGUCCUUAACCAGCUACUGUGGCACCACAAGGAAUUGGUGUAUUUCCUAUUAAUAAACUAGGUGGUUCCCUUGAUGAAAGUGAGAAGACAGAACAGAACCAGAACAUUGGAAGCUUUCACCAGUAUGACUAUAAUGACGGGGACGUCUUGUACAUACAAAUGACGAGGCUACCUUCACCACCGUGCAGCAGCCCAUGUGACGGCGAGCCCGGGCCGCUCCUGCCCAGCAGCUCCUCGAUCAUCUGCAGCGCGAUCCUCUCCUCGUCGUCCAUUGCCGGAGGUGGUGGCGACGGCGAG